GAUGAAGAACGUAGCGAAAUGCGAUACUUGGUGUGAAUUGCAGAAUCCCGUGAACCAUCGAGUCUUUGAACGCAAGUUGCGCCCGAAGCCAUUAGGCCGAGGGCACGCCUGCCUGGGCGUCACACGUCGUUGCCCCCCCAUCUACUCCUUCGGGAUUGCGGGGGGCGGAUGAUGGCCUCCCGUGCGCCUCGUCGCGCGGUUGGCAUAAAUGCCAAGUCCUCGGCGACGCACGCCACGACAAUCGGUGGUUGCGAAACCUCGGUUGCCCGUCGUGUGCGGUCGUCGCGCAUCGAGGGCUCGAAAAAAUUGCCGGGCUCCGGCUCGGCUUUCAACGCGACCCUAGGUCAGGCGGGGUUACCCGCUGAAUUUAAGCAUAUCAAUAAGCGGAGGA
RNAcentral lists this unclassified non-coding RNA (391 nucleotides) under soil metagenome. Its description in RNAcentral is "partial contains 5.8S ribosomal RNA, internal transcribed spacer 2, and large subunit ribosomal RNA". The stretch from base 1 to 122 matches the Rfam family "5.8S ribosomal RNA", at positions 35 to 154 of the family's 154-position model. The record is from RNAcentral.